This 240-nucleotide non-coding RNA is filed under the name unidentified. The record is from RNAcentral.
AGACUUUCACGCAGUUUUGGUGCUCGUGCGUGAGAUUCUUUUGCGUGCAGUUAAACAGGAAGCAGGAGGCGCCGGUUCAAAUGAAGAACACGCGCUGGCCUGAGCUGCCCCCCACAACGGUUAAUCGAUUGUCGCGCCACGUGCGCGACGAGCCGCUUCAAGGCCACUACGCAAGAAUGCGUGGGAAGGCAAGGCGGUCACAUCGUCAGCCCGGAUACCGGCCAGAAUGUCAGCGGGUUC